GUCAACCACCCCUGCCUAAAGGCAGAGGCUUGUGAAAGCAAGCCUUAGUUGACUAGCCCAAGUGAAGAGAAAUCCGAACUACGUUGGUUGGGAAUGUAUAGGCACCGCGGGAUGUCAAUCCCUAGUCCCGCGCUCUGC
Molecule: small RNA, 138 nt
Filed under: uncultured Duodenibacillus sp.
Lineage: Bacteria; Pseudomonadati; Pseudomonadota; Betaproteobacteria; Burkholderiales; Sutterellaceae
Description: HNH endonuclease-associated RNA and ORF (HEARO) RNA
Rfam family: HNH endonuclease-associated RNA and ORF (HEARO) RNA
Source: RNAcentral